RNAcentral lists this transfer RNA (67 nucleotides) under Vespula rufa. Its description in RNAcentral is "tRNA-Gly". The record is from RNAcentral. Lineage: Eukaryota; Metazoa; Arthropoda; Insecta; Hymenoptera; Vespidae.
ACUUAUAUAGUAUAUAUUAUUACAUUUAACUUCCAAUUAAAAAAAUUAUUAUUAAAUAAUAUAAGUA